Molecule: ribosomal RNA, 433 nt
Filed under: uncultured bacterium
Lineage: Bacteria
Description: partial 16S ribosomal RNA
Rfam family: Bacterial small subunit ribosomal RNA
Source: RNAcentral
AACGAACGCUGGCGGCAUGCCUAACACAUGCAAGUCGAACGAGACCUUCGGUUCUAGUGGCGCACGGGUGCUUAACGCGUGGGAACCUGCCCUUAGGUUCGUAUUAACUCCCCGAAAGUGGUGCUAAUACCGGAUAAUGUCUUCGGCCCAAAGAUUUAUCGCCUUUGGAUGGGCCCGUGUUGGAUUAGCUAGUUGGUAGGGUAAAAGCCUACCAAGGCGACGAUCCAUAGCUGGUCUGAGAGGAUGAUCAGCCACACUGGGACUGAGACACGGCCCAGACUCCUACGGGAGGCAGCAGUGGGGAAUAUUGGACAAUGGGCGAAAGCCUGAUCCAGCAAUGCCGCGUGAGUGAUGAAGGCCUUAGGGUUGUAAAGCUCUUUUACCCGGGAUGAUAAUGACAGUACCGGGAGAAUAAGCUCCGGCUAACUCCGUG